UGGCACCUUAGCAAAUUGAUUCAAUCAAUUGUCAAGGUAAACCUUUAAGGUGAGUGUAAGCAUCCCUGUUUUAAUGAUAAGAAAGCUUGGGUUCAGGAGGCUAUUCUCAUUUACUCCCACAGGAGGACUGGGCCAUCCAUCCUGCUGUCCCCAGCAGAGGGCGCUGCUUGCUAAUACAUCUGCCCAGCAACAUGGGAAGCAUCCUGGACCCCCUGCAUCUGAGUGGACACAAUGUCCUGAGGGAAGGCCUGGUGGAUCCCUCCUAGGAUUUGGAGUCUGACAUGUGACUUCUCUCUAAGCCUCUGUUAUUACCACACAGGCAGGGAUGGGUGCAGGCUCGGAAAACCAGGAUGGGCAGGUUUUGAGCUUGGAUCUUUGCCAGAGCCAACCUUCUUACACCCCGUGAGUCAGUUAGCACAUGGCUCUCACCAUGCCUGGCAGAGGACUGUGGUGGGGACAGUGAAGCUCAGGAAGUCUGGAUGAAGCUGCUGGGGAUCCUACUGGGAGAGAGAGUGAAGUCCACUGAAGGGUGAUGUUUGCUCUCCCCCAGGUUAUGGGUCCUACUCAGGGAAGAGAGAGGCCAGGUCCCAUUGAAACUGCUCUGUGGUCCCAUUGAAACUCUCCUGUGAGGGGGCACAGGACACUUCUGGAGACCCCUGACACCAGGGACAAUUAAGAGGACAUUCCUGUCCUGGUACCCAGCCUGCAUUUGUACCACUCGGGGCUUGGGUUGACUGGGAUCAUCUAGUGCUCAUGAUGGCUCUCUGGCUUCUGUCCCCAGUGGCCCAGAUACACAGGAAGAAGUAUACAGGAUCCUUGAGCAGACCUAUCUCUUCCAUAACUGAGCUUCCACUGCCCUAGCUGCCACCUAGUGCCCAGGUCAUGGCAAGUGAAUGUGGUCUCAUUAAAUAUAAAUAGCGGGGGAGAGGUGGCACAUGACUAUAAUCCCAGUGACUUGGGAGGCUGAGAUAGGAAGAUUGCACAUUUGUGGCAAGUCUGGGCAUCCUAGUGAGACCCUGUCUCCAAAAAGAAAAAUAAAAAAGGCUUGGGGAUGUAGCUCAGUGGUAGAGUCUCCCUGGGUUCAACCUUCAGUAUCACAAAACAAAUCUGCUGUCAACAAAUUAAAAGUUUUUUUUCUGGUGCAUUAUAAU
RNAcentral lists this long non-coding RNA (1151 nucleotides) under Marmota monax (woodchuck). Lineage: Eukaryota; Metazoa; Chordata; Mammalia; Rodentia; Sciuridae. The record is from RNAcentral.